RNAcentral lists this long non-coding RNA (711 nucleotides) under Cairina moschata (Muscovy duck). RNAcentral describes it as "domestica (muscovy Duck (domestic type)) lncRNA (ENSCMMG00000002264.1)". Lineage: Eukaryota; Metazoa; Chordata; Aves; Anseriformes; Anatidae. The record is from RNAcentral.
CAGGGCGCCAGGGCCAGUUACUGUGCGCCUCACGUGUAGCUAAAUCUCUUCAGGUGUAGUUUUGAGCUCCUAAGCAGCCCGCUGUGAGCUAAAUCGGACUGAACUUUGGCAUGGACAAGGAGUGCCUCAGGUAGCCAACACCCUUGGCUGUGUGAAUUUUGGCUGAGAUGGUGAGGAGUGCUGCCACCCAAGUAUGAUUCCACCGCCAAAUCCAUCGAUGUUUCAUACUGAGAAUGGGUGAACAUGAAGAGUAUGGCAACAAUUCAAGGAAAACAAGUUGAUGAACAUAAAGGUUCACAAAGAAGUUGAGAUACAAAACAAAGAAAUGAAGAUGUGUAAGACAAUACCUACAUUCAUCCUGCUGCUUACAGGGUAUUUUGUUAAAAAUAUGCAUGUUCAUGCAACAGAUCCAACACUAUUAUUGCAAACUACUUCCAGUGUCACAGAAGCUUCUCACCAAGAAACAGCAACAGCUGAUUCAAAACCAGUAACAACCGGACCAGAAAAUGAGUCGAGUCCCGUUCCAGAAGAACGUUUGUCAUCUACAGUAGUGGCAGGAACCAGCAUUUCCCUUGUGAUCAUCUUGAUAUGUGUAAUUGCUUUUUUUUGGUUCAAAUGGAAAUCGUCUAAGGAAAGUUCAGCUGAAAUUAAUUCUGACCCCUCCAGUGAAGCUGUGGUGACCUUAAAAAAUACCAAGUUAUGAAAACCAAU